AUUGGGGUGGCAGAGCAUGGUAAAUUGCAUAAGGCCUAAGCCCUUAAAGUCAGAGGUUCAAAUCCUCUCCCCAGUU
Molecule: transfer RNA, 76 nt
Filed under: Exoglossum maxillingua (cutlips minnow)
Lineage: Eukaryota; Metazoa; Chordata; Actinopteri; Cypriniformes; Leuciscidae
Description: tRNA-Leu
Rfam family: tRNA
About the family: Transfer RNA (tRNA) molecules are approximately 80 nucleotides in length. Their secondary structure includes four short double-helical elements and three loops (D, anti-codon, and T loops).
Source: RNAcentral